Molecule: long non-coding RNA, 1706 nt
Filed under: Equus caballus (horse)
Lineage: Eukaryota; Metazoa; Chordata; Mammalia; Perissodactyla; Equidae
Description: lncRNA (ENSECAG00000030526.3)
Source: RNAcentral
UCUAGGAUUAACUUUUAUUAAUUGAUUUGCAUUCAAGUGAUUAGGAUGAUUACAACUAAUUAUCCAGUCAACUCUUAAAAUUUUAAUAACAUCCCUCUCUUUGGGCAUGCUUGGAAAAUCUGUCCCUGAAUCAAUAUUACAAAAUAUCUACAUAAUUUUCACCACAGAACUUCUACAAAUAAUUAUUCAUUCCAUUUUGACUAUUACAGCUUAGCCUAAAGAAUUAAGUAAAUAUGUAUUACUUCACUCCUGCACACCCUUUAAACGCAGCUAACAGACACUGAAUAAACCGGCUCAUCCCCCGCGGGAUCAGGAGUUGCUUGCCCCGUAUGCUGUCGCCAGGCUGCAGCCGCCUGAGGGGACUCGUCCGGGGCCCCGCCCUCAGAGCUCACACCCGCCGUGCGCUCUCGCCCCGGGGCCGCCCCGCCGACCUCCCGCGCGGCUCUGCGCGCACAGGCCGGACGCUCGGAGCCGGCGCCGGGCCGCCCUGCUCGGCCUCCUGGGCGCAGCGGCGCCUCUGGACCGAGCACGCGCACCAGCGGCCUCCGCUCAGGCUCCGUGCCCGCGCACGCGCCCUCGCGUCGCGCUCCUGGCUGAGAGACCUGCGCUCGGGCUGGGCUCCGGGCGGUUCUCGCGUUGUCGUUCCACCGGGACUUCCGCGCUUCGGUGGCCUUUCGGACGAGCCGCCGCGCCCAGAGAUGUUCAGGUUGGAGCGACACUUCCCAGACGGCAGCGGUCACGCCAGCUCUUUGGCUUCCAUUCCGUUUUCGCGCGGUUCUCCCUCUUCGCAAGCUGCUUGGCUGCAAGAGGGAAGUAGGACAUUGAGCCCUAAAGGGAGAUUUCCAGCCAGGGGGCACCGAGUGAUGUCAUUCUGACUGCAGUCACCACUGUCGGGUUGUGAUUAAACUCUGAUGACCUAUGAGAGCACCGUGAUGUCAGUUUUUCUGGAAUUGGAAUAUUGAGUACUUCCUGACCCAGUUCUAUGUCUUUUCUAACCUGUUCAACCUCACCUGACCCCAAGGCCAUGAGGUAAGGUGUGGCUGGAUGGCGUGGCUCCUUUUCAGUCCUGGAAGGUGUGAAUGGAGGGAGGAGGACCUGUUCAGGGCAGCGCUGACCAGCCUAGCCUCACGUGCAGAGCUGCUUCCCCAAAGUGGAGGACAGGCCAGAAAACUGUCUGCUGAAUUGUUUGGGUUUCCUGGGGGUUAGGGAAAGAGUUUGGGUUUAUCUACAAUCCUUCUAAUCUUUUCAUAUUGUUGUGUUUGUUUGGUUAGCGGUAUUAUGCAAAAUGGAAUGGAGGAGCCAAAUGUUACUUCCUUUCAUGGUAACCCUGAAUUAUGCUUGCUCUCAUGGUCUCUUUUUCCUUACCCAGCUCUAGAUUCCCUUUGUUCUUUCCCAGUAGAGGAAUCCCAAGGAGGACUGAUCAGUUUUGGCAGGUGCAAAACCAUGGUGACUAGCAGUACUCCUUCAACAUGGCCAAGUGUCUCUGGGGCAAAAUCACCUCUGAUUGAGAACCAAUGGCAUGAUGUUUCAGAACUGAAAGCAUUCUGACAGAAUUCCAAUCAAGACCCCAUGUCUUACUUGUAAAUUUGCACGGAUCACUAAAUCUCUCUGAGCACCAUUUCUGCAAUAUAGGGUGGAGUUCAUAAACAUACUAUCUCAUAGAACAGACUUUUGUAAAAAUUAAAUAGGAAAGACCCUAUAAGGUG